CGUGUGGUUCUAUUUUGUUGGUUUCUAGGACCGCCGUAAUGAUUAAUAGGGACAGUCGGGGGCAUCAGUAUUCAAUUGUCAGAGGUGAAAUUCUUGGAUUUAUUGAAGACUAACUACUGCGAAAGCAUUUGCCAAGGAUGUUUUCAUUAAUCAGGAACGAAAGUUAGGGGAUCGAAGACGAUCAGAUACCGUCGUAGUCUUAACCAUAAACUAUGCCGACUAGGGAUCGGACGAUGUUACAUUUUUGACGCGUUCGGCACCUUACGAGAAAUCAAAGUGCUUGGGCUCCAGGGGGAGUAUGGUCGCAAGGCUGAAACUUAAAGAAAUUGACGGAAGGGCACCACCAGGGGUGGAGCCUGCGGCUUAAUUUGACUCAACACGGGGAAACUCACCAGGUCCAGACACAAUGAGGAUUGACAGAUUGAGAGCUCUUUCUUGAUUUUGUGGGUGGUGGUGCAUGGCCGUUCUUAGUUGGUGGAGUGAUUUGUCUGCUUAAUUGCGAUAACGAACGAGACCUUAACCUGCUAAAUAGCCCGUAUUGCUUUGGCAGUACGCCGGCUUCUUAGAGGGACUAUCGGCUCAAGCCGAUGGAAGUUUGAGGCAAUAACAGGUCUGUGAUGCCCUUACAUGUUCUGGGCCGCACGCGCGCUACACUGACGGAGCCAGCGAGUACUCCCUUGGCCGGAAGGCCUGGGUAAUCUUGUUAAACUCCGUCGUGC
RNAcentral lists this ribosomal RNA (719 nucleotides) under uncultured fungus. RNAcentral's name for it is "SSU rRNA". It matches the Rfam family "Eukaryotic small subunit ribosomal RNA", at positions 827 to 1570 of the family's 1831-position model. The record is from RNAcentral. Lineage: Eukaryota; Fungi.